CGGGUUGUAAAGCCCUUUAAGAUGGGAAGAAGCAGUGCGGGGUAAUAUACCGCAGUGUUGACGGUACCGUCAGAAUAAGCACCGGCAAAACUCUGUGC
This 98-nucleotide ribosomal RNA is filed under the name uncultured bacterium. RNAcentral describes it as "partial 16S ribosomal RNA". The record is from RNAcentral.